GGGUUUGGGUCGACACGAGAAGAUGUCCUAAAUCAAUGUUGUAAGAUCAAGGAUCUCGGACUAGAAUCUGGCAACCAUCUAUCCUAGCUAAUUUUAUAUGAUUUUUCAUUAGAGAUCUUUGAUAUUACAAUUGAUUUGAUGUUGAGGCCCGACCUUGUAGGAGAGUAAUUGUCUGGAGCAGAUGAUGUUGAGCCAAACACCUUAUCUCCGAAUUCAUAGACUGAGGGCCAGGUCGGUAUUUGCUGUACUUGGAUCUGUCAUCAAUAGAGAAGAUGAUUCUUUAACACAAGCAUCUACAUGAUUAUGCAAAAUUUUAUUUAUAAUUAUUCCUUGUUGUAGUUCUAAUA
Molecule: long non-coding RNA, 347 nt
Filed under: Elaeis guineensis (African oil palm)
Lineage: Eukaryota; Viridiplantae; Streptophyta; Magnoliopsida; Arecales; Arecaceae
Description: long non-coding RNA (EGUI_LNC036407)
Source: RNAcentral